This 638-nucleotide ribosomal RNA is filed under the name Planococcus sp. UST050418-893. Its description in RNAcentral is "bacterial SSU rRNA". It matches the Rfam family "Bacterial small subunit ribosomal RNA", at positions 77 to 682 of the family's 1533-position model. The record is from RNAcentral. Lineage: Bacteria; Bacillati; Bacillota; Bacilli; Caryophanales; Caryophanaceae.
AGCUUGCUCCACNUCUGGUUUAGCGGCGGACGGGUGAGUAACACGUGGGCAACCUGCCCUGCAGAUCGGGAUAACUCCGGGAAACCGGUGCUAAUACCGAAUAGUUUGCGGCCUCUCCUGAGGCUGCACGGAAAGACGGUUUCGGCUGUCACUGCAGGAUGGGCCCGCGGCGCAUUAGCUAGUUGGUGGGGUAAUGGCCUACCAAGGCGACGAUGCGUAGCCGACCUGAGAGGGUGAUCGGCCACACUGGGACUGAGACACGGCCCAGACUCCUACGGGAGGCAGCAGUAGGGAAUCUUCCGCAAUGGACGAAAGUCUGACGGAGCAACGCCGCGUGAGUGACGAAGGUUUUCGGAUCGUAAAACUCUGUUGUGAGGGAAGAACAAGUACCAACUAACUACUGGUACCUUGACGGUACCUCACCAGAAAGCCACGGCUAACUACGUGCCAGCAGCCGCGGUAAUACGUAGGUGGCAAGCGUUGUCCGGAAUUAUUGGGCGUAAAGCGCGCGCAGGCGGUCCUUUAAGUCUGAUGUGAAAGCCCACGGGCUCAACCCGUGGGAGCGGUCAUUGGAACACCUUGGCGGACUUUGAGUCGCACGAAGAGGGACAACCGUGGAACUUCCCAUGUGUAGCGGU